AGUGAACGCUGGCGGUAGGCCUAACACAUGCAAGUCGAACGGCAGCACAGUAAGAGCUUGCUCUUACGGGUGGCGAGUGGCGGACGGGUGAGGAAUACAUCGGAAUCUACUUUUUCGUGGGGGAUAACGUAGGGAAACUUACGCUAAUACCGCAUACGACCUACGGGUGAAAGCAGGGGAUCUCCGGACCUUGCGCGAUUGAAUGAGCCGAUGCCGGAUUAGCUAGUUGGCGGGGUAAAGGCCCACCAAGGCGACGAUCCGUAGCUGGUCUGAGAGGAUGAUCAGCCACACUGGAACUGAGACACGGUCCAGACUCCUACGGGAGGCAGCAGUGGGGAAUAUUGGACAAUGGGCGCAAGCCUGAUCCAGCCAUACCGCGUGGGUGAAGAAGGCCUUCGGGUUGUAAAGCCCUUUUGUUGGGAAAGAAAAGCAGCAGGUUAAUACCCCGCUGUUCUGACGGUACCCAAAGAAUAAGCACCGGCUAACUUCGUG
This 492-nucleotide ribosomal RNA is filed under the name uncultured bacterium. RNAcentral's name for it is "partial 16S ribosomal RNA". It matches the Rfam family "Bacterial small subunit ribosomal RNA", at positions 29 to 507 of the family's 1533-position model. The record is from RNAcentral.